AAAAUCCGUCGACUUUAGAAAUCGUGAGGGUUCAAGUCCCUCUAUCCCCCCAAAAAGACCGAUUUGACUAUUUCUCCUACCCUCUCUUUUUUUUAGUGGUUCAAAAUCCGUUCUCUUUCUCAUUCAUUCUACCUUUUUACAAACGUAUUAGAGCAGAAUUUUUUUUUUCUUUUAUCACAAUCACAAGUGGUGUGGUAUAUAUGAUAUACGUACAAAUGAACAUCUUUGAACAAAGAAUCCCGAUUCACAAUUCAUAUCAUUGCUCAUACUGAAACUUAUAAAUUAUUCUAUUGAAGAAAUCUAAUUCCACGCUCAAGACUUUUAAUACUUUUUUAUCUUUUUUAAUUGACAUAGACCCCAGUCAUCUAGUAAAAUGAGGAUGAUGCGCCGGUAAUGGUCGGGAUAGCUCAGCUGGUAGAGCAGAGGACUGAAAAUCCUCGUGUCACCAGU
This 450-nucleotide transfer RNA is filed under the name Acer carpinifolium (hornbeam maple). RNAcentral describes it as "partial transfer RNA-Leu". The stretch from base 397 to 450 matches the Rfam family "tRNA", at positions 1 to 52 of the family's 71-position model. The record is from RNAcentral. Lineage: Eukaryota; Viridiplantae; Streptophyta; Magnoliopsida; Sapindales; Sapindaceae.